This 468-nucleotide ribosomal RNA is filed under the name uncultured bacterium. Its description in RNAcentral is "partial 16S ribosomal RNA". It matches the Rfam family "Bacterial small subunit ribosomal RNA", at positions 28 to 507 of the family's 1533-position model. The record is from RNAcentral.
GACGAACGCUGGCGGCGUGCUUAACACAUGCAAGUCGAACGGAAAGGCCCUGCUUUUGUGGGGUGCUCGAGUGGCGAACGGGUGAGUAACACGUGAGUAACCUGCCCUUGACUUUGGGAUAACUUCAGGAAACUGGGGCUAAUACCGGCUAGGAGCUCCUGCUGCAUGGUGGGGGUUGGAAAGUUUCGGCGGUUGGGGAUGGACUCGCGGCUUAUCAGCUUGUUGGUGGGGUAGUGGCUUACCAAGGCUUUGACGGGUAGCCGGCCUGAGAGUGUGACCGGCCACAUUGGGACUGAGAUACGGCCCAGACUCCUACGGGAGGCAGCAGGGGGGAAUAGUGCACAAUGGGCGGAAGCCUGAUGCAGCAACGCCGCGUGCGGGAUGACGGCCUUCGGGUUGUAAACCGCUUUCGCCUGGGACGAAGCGUGUGUGACGGUAAUGGGUAUAGAAACACCGGCUAACUACGUG